Pelobates cultripes (western spadefoot toad) is the source of this 463-nucleotide non-coding RNA. The record is from the annotation of a GenBank genome assembly. NCBI's taxonomy places the organism in Eukaryota, Metazoa, Chordata, Amphibia, Anura, Pelobatidae.
GGGGUUAAGCCAACCUCUAGUGGCUGUCUUCCUGACAGCCGCUAGAGGCGCAUCUGCAAUGCUGGAUGCGAAUUUCGCAUCCAUCACGCAGAGCGUCCAUAGUAAAGUAUUGAGAAAUGUUUUCCUAUGGACUGUUUGGACAUGCGCAUUCCGCUCCAGUCGGGAGCUGACGUCGGCAGUGGAGGAGAGGUCACCAGCGCUGAGGAGCCCUGUGCUGGAAUAAGGUAUGCUGCUGAAAGGAGUUUUAACCCCUUCAGUGCCACAGGAGGGGGACCCUGAGGGUGGGGGCAAAACAACCCCACAUACUUACGCCGACCUUAUCUUCAGAUAGUGCAGAAGGACUUACGGCAGUCAUUGGUGAUGUUAAAAUCCUACUGCAGCUUGUUUUAUCUGUAAAUAUAGUGGCACCAGUACAAGCAUAAAAUUCACGAAUAUUGCAUCAAUAUGAGAAUAUGAACGUCAC